RNAcentral lists this ribosomal RNA (961 nucleotides) under Listeria monocytogenes. RNAcentral's name for it is "partial 23S ribosomal RNA". It matches the Rfam family "Bacterial large subunit ribosomal RNA", at positions 1 to 954 of the family's 2925-position model. The record is from RNAcentral. Lineage: Bacteria; Bacillati; Bacillota; Bacilli; Caryophanales; Listeriaceae.
UUGGUUAAGUUAGAAAGGGCGCACGGUGGAUGCCUUGGCACUAGGAGCCGAAGAAGGACGGGACUAACACCGAUAUGCUUUGGGGAGCUGUACGUAAGCGUUGAUCCAGAGAUUUCCGAAUGGGGGAACCCACUAUCUUUAGUCGGAUAGUAUCCUUACGUGAAUACAUAGCGUGAGGAAGGCAGACCCAGGGAACUGAAACAUCUAAGUACCUGGAGGAAGAGAAAGAAAAAUCGAUUUCCUGAGUAGCGGCGAGCGAAACGGAAAGAGCCCAAACCAAGAAGCUUGCUUCUUGGGGUUGUAGGACACUCUAUAUGGAGUUACAAAAGAAAGUUAUAAAUGAAGCGGUCUGGAAAGGCCCGCCAAAGACGGUAACAGCCCGGUAGUUGAAAUGGCUUUCCCUCCAGAGUGGAUCCUGAGUACGGCGGAACACGUGAAAUUCCGUCGGAAUCCGGGAGGACCAUCUCCCAAGGCUAAAUACUCCCUAGUGACCGAUAGUGAACCAGUACCGUGAGGGAAAGGUGAAAAGCACCCCGGAAGGGGAGUGAAACAGUUCCUGAAACCGUGUGCCUACAAGUAGUUAGAGCCCGUUAAUGGGUGAUAGCGUGCCUUUUGUAGAAUGAACCGGCGAGUUACGAUUUGUUGCAAGGUUAAGCGGAAAAAGCGGAGCCGUAGCGAAAGCGAGUCUGAAUAGGGCGCAUAAGUAACAGGUCGUAGACCCGAAACCAGGUGAUCUACCCAUGUCCAGGAUGAAGGUAAGGUAAUACUUACUGGAGGUCCGAACCCACGCACGUUGAAAAGUGCGGGGAUGAGGUGUGGGUAGCGGAGAAAUUCCAAUCGAACUUGGAGAUAGCUGGUUCUCUCCGAAAUAGCUUUAGGGCUAGCCUCGAGGUAAAGAGUCAUGGAGGUAGAGCACUGUUUGGACUAGGGGCCCUUCUCGGGUUACCGAAUUCAGAUAAAC